GACAGAGGUGCCGAGCGUUAGGCGGAAUCACUGGGCUUAAAGCGUGUGUAGGCGGGUUCGUAAGUACCUUGUGAAAUCCCACGGCUCAACCGUGGAACUGCUUGGUAUACUGCGGGUCUUGAGCCACUUAGGGGCAAGCGGAACAAACGGUGGAGCGGUGAAAUGCGUAGAUAUCGUUUGGAACGCCAAUGGUGAAAACAGCUUGCUGGGAGUGUGCUGACGCUGAGACACGAAAGCCAGGGGAGCAAACGGG
Molecule: ribosomal RNA, 253 nt
Filed under: uncultured bacterium
Lineage: Bacteria
Description: partial 16S ribosomal RNA
Rfam family: Bacterial small subunit ribosomal RNA
Source: RNAcentral